UACGUAGGGUGCGAGCGUUGUCCGGAUUUAUUGGGCGUAAAGGGCGCGUAGGCGGCUCGGCACGUCCGUUGUGAAAUCGCCCGGCUCAACUGGGCGGGGUCAGCGGAUACGGUCGAGCUUGAGCAAGCUAGGGGGCAAUGGAAUUCCCGGUGUAGUGGUGGAAUGCGUAGAUAUCGGGAGGAACACCAGUGGCGAAGGCGGUUGCCUGGAGCUUUGCUGACGCUGAUGCGCGAAAGCUAGGGGAGCAAACGGG
Molecule: ribosomal RNA, 253 nt
Filed under: uncultured bacterium
Lineage: Bacteria
Description: partial 16S ribosomal RNA
Rfam family: Bacterial small subunit ribosomal RNA
Source: RNAcentral